RNAcentral lists this ribosomal RNA (119 nucleotides) under Pteropus alecto (black flying fox). Lineage: Eukaryota; Metazoa; Chordata; Mammalia; Chiroptera; Pteropodidae. The record is from RNAcentral.
AUCCAUGGCCAUGCUACCCUGAACAAACCCAAUCCUGUCUGAUCUCGGAAGCUAAGCAGGGUUGGGCCUGCUUAGUACUUGGACGGGAGACCACCUAGGAAGACCAGGUGCUGUAGGUG